RNAcentral lists this ribosomal RNA (375 nucleotides) under uncultured bacterium. RNAcentral describes it as "bacterial SSU rRNA". It matches the Rfam family "Bacterial small subunit ribosomal RNA", at positions 524 to 898 of the family's 1533-position model. The record is from RNAcentral.
UACGUAGGUGGCAAGCGUUAUCCGGAUUUACUGGGUGUAAAGGGCGCGUAGGCGGGAAUGCAAGUCAGAUGUGAAAUCUCCGGGCUUAACCCGGAAACUGCAUUUGAAACUGUAUUUCUUGAGUGUCGGAGAGGUAGAUGGAAUUCCUAGUGUAGCGGUGAAAUGCGUAGAUAUUAGGAGGAACACCAGUGGCGAAGGCGAUCUACUGGACGAUAACUGACGCUGAGGCGCGAAAGCGUGGGGAGCAAACAGGAUUAGAUACACUGGUAGUCCACGCUGUAAACGAUGAAUACUAGGUGUGGGGGGACUGACCCCCUCCGUGCCGCAGUUAACACAAUAAGUAUUCCACCUGGGGAGUACGACCACAAGGUUGAA